Molecule: small nuclear RNA, 107 nt
Organism: Loxodonta africana (African savanna elephant)
Lineage: Eukaryota; Metazoa; Chordata; Mammalia; Proboscidea; Elephantidae
Source: Ensembl
AUGCUCACUUUGGCAGCACAUAUACUAAAAUUGGAACGAUACAGAGAAAAUUAGCAUGUCCCCCAUGCAAGGAUGACAUGUAAAUGUAUGAAGUGCUCUAUAUUUUU